AUGGAUUGGUGCCUUCGGGAACUCUGACACAGGUGCUGCAUGGCUGUCGUCAGCUCGUGUCGUCGAGAUGUUGGGUUAAGUCCCGUAACGAGCGCAACCCUUGUCCUUAGUUACCAGCACGUUAUGGUGGGCACUCUAAGGAGACUGCCGGUGACAAACCGGAGGAAGGUGGGGAUGACGUCAAGUCAUCAUGGCCCUUACGGCCUGGGCUACACACGUGCUACAAUGGUCGGUACAAAGGGUUGCCAAGCCGCGAGGUGGAGCUAAUCCCAUAAAACCGAUCGUAGUCCGGAUCGCAGUCUGCAACUCGACUGCGUGAAGUCGGAAUCGCUAGUAAUCGUGAAUCAGAAUGUCACGGUGAAUACGUUCCCGGGCCUU
RNAcentral lists this ribosomal RNA (378 nucleotides) under uncultured Pseudomonas sp. RNAcentral's name for it is "bacterial SSU rRNA". It matches the Rfam family "Bacterial small subunit ribosomal RNA", at positions 1006 to 1382 of the family's 1533-position model. The record is from RNAcentral. Lineage: Bacteria; Pseudomonadati; Pseudomonadota; Gammaproteobacteria; Pseudomonadales; Pseudomonadaceae.